GGCGAUGAUCGGUAGCCGGUCUGAGAGGGUGAACGGCCACACUGGACUGAGACACGGCCAGACUCCUACGGGAGGCAGCAGUGCGGGAAUCAUUGACACGAAUGGGGCGCAAGAGCCCUGAAUGCCCAGGCGCACGACCGGGCCGUGGGUAGUGCAUAGGAAAAGGCGUCGCCUCUUACGGGCACUGUGCGUUAUAGCACGUCUGACAUUGUUAUCAGGAUAACUGCGUCGUGCGGAGGGUAACAAGGUGAAUAGUACGGUCCGACUGUUUAUUUCUGAAGUAAUGCGACGAGGUGCUGAGGCGGAACAUAUGUAAUUGAACCGGGGUUAACCCCCGAUGUCUUAGGGAAAGAGUAAAGGGCAAUCCC
RNAcentral lists this ribosomal RNA (368 nucleotides) under uncultured soil bacterium. RNAcentral's name for it is "partial 16S ribosomal RNA". The stretch from base 1 to 131 matches the Rfam family "Bacterial small subunit ribosomal RNA", at positions 272 to 397 of the family's 1533-position model. The record is from RNAcentral.